Molecule: ribosomal RNA, 329 nt
Filed under: uncultured eukaryote
Lineage: Eukaryota
Description: partial 18S ribosomal RNA
Rfam family: Eukaryotic small subunit ribosomal RNA
Source: RNAcentral
CCCUUAGAUGUCCGGGGCCGCACGCGCGCUACACUGAAGGAAUCAGCGUGGCUUUCUCCCUGACCCGAAAGGGUUGGGAAACCCGUUGAAUCUCCUUCGUGAUAGGGAUUGGGGCUUGAAAUUGUUCCCCAUGAACGAGGAAUUCCCAGUAAGCGCGAGUCAUAAGCUCGCGUUGAUUACGUCCCUGCCCUUUGUACACACCGCCCGUCGCACCUACCGAUUGGAUGGUCCGGUGAAGCCUCGGGAUUGUGGUUCUUGCCGCUUUGUUGUGGCGUGACCGCGAGAACUUGUCUAAACCUUAUCAUCUAGAGGAAGGUGAAGUCGUAACA